GCUGCCAGACCUUUCCUGCAGCAGCAGAAAGAUGGUGUUUGUGGUGCUCUGGCGUGAUGCUUGGAGGAGCCAGGGAAGGUCAAAUCCAGCUCAGCUCCUGAGCGGGUCGCUGGGGAGCGAGUGAUGGGGAGGCAAAUGCAGAAAAAGGAGAUAAAACUGGGACAAACGCGACCUCCCCUCCUGUGGGCCUGGCAGAAAAGGGUUAAGAGAAGCGGUUGAAUGCUGCAAGCCUCGUCAGGGUUGUACUAUUUUUUCUAGUGCAUAAGGAGAAGGGAGAGGAGGGUUGCACGGAAAAGGGAAAUUUCCGAGAAAAGAGGGAUCUGCGGCAAUAUCUGCACCUCGGGGGAUGAAGAGAGGAACCAACAGGCAUAAAUGGCCUGGGGACGGCUGAAAUCUCUGCCGAGGAGAUUGGCACCGCGGGGUUAUUUUCCACUUGCCUCCCCUACCCAUUUCUGUAAUCCUGGCUCAAAGUAGACAAGUCGAGUUGGAGCUGAAGAAGGGAGGCGAUGCCACACCUCCCGAGGACACUGGGGACAUCGGGUUUUGCUGAGCUUAGCAGCUUUUCACCGUCGUACCGAAGGCAUCAGACAGACGCUCAUCUGCCCUGAAGUGCAGAUCUGCAACAGCUCCCGGGAAGACUCUGUCUCUCUGUCUCUCUGUCUCUCUUUUCUCUCUCUCUCCAGUCCAAACCAUUACAAGACCUGACUUCCACCAUCUGGGAAUUUAACCCCUCUUAUGUCCCUUCUCCUUUUUCUACGAUGACUCACCAUUAUUUUUAACUUUGAAGAGAGAGGAAAUUAUGGGGAUCUUGGAAGCCUGUAUUUCUCUCUAGGAUUUCCCCAGGGGUCAGAUAAUCGGUGUUACUAAGAGACACUAAGAUUUGGCUUCUCCAGGUAAUGUGAUUUGUUUUCUGUGUGCCAUGGUGGUUUGCAGAGGAUGACAGGAGCCGGGACACCAGCGGCCGAGGAGGGGGACUGCGGUGGUCCAUGGGGGAAUCGCCGGCUCCGCAUUCCAGAGCUUGGCUGCAGGCAGGGAGGGCAGCAUGUCGCCGAGCCGCCGCUUCGUGGCUAGGGCAAGAGGAUUGGGAAGGUGUUAAAAGCCGAGUUGGAGUUUUUCUGGAGGGUUGAUUGCCUGAGAUCCGCACGGUUAAAUGUUGAUUAACCCUUCGCUGCAUGCCUGGGAAUGACCUGAGCCCCGGCACCCCGUGGGGUCCCCUUGCCACUUUAGGGCUGGAUGGGGUUAUUUUUCUUCCUUCCUUUCUCUUCCCUUUCCCCUCCUUGCCUUUUUAUUUUUAAAUUGAAAUUUUGAUUUUUAGCCAAAAAAUAAGCCCUGCUUUGCCAAUGCCAGUUUUUCCGUGCUGGUUUUGAACAGGUGAUGGUUCCUCAGGUGUUUUACUCUGUUCCACCUAAUGGGUUUAGACGGGAGUUGUUGAACUCUGUCCCACAGAAGGCAAAUUAACCCCCCCCCCAAGGAAGGGCAUAGACAUGCUAGUGAAGGGAUCUGCUCUCCUCCCCCCAACUUUAUUCCAUCUCUCUCUUUCUCAGCAGGGGUGAUUUUCUUUCUCCUUUUUUUUUUUUUUUUUCCUGUAUCUCAUCCCUUCGCCUUUUCAUGAGACUCUUCCAACCCUACAUACCUGUCCUUCUGCAGGAUAGUAGCCCUGCCCUGAACCUGAUCCCACCACCGGGCCCUGGGAAGAGCUUAGCAUAAGGAUUUCUUUGAAAACCCCCAAUAUGACAGUUGCCACUGGAGAUCCUGCAGAUGAAGCUGCAGCUCUUCCCGGUCACCCGCAGGACACGUAUAACCCCGAGACCGACCAUGAGUGCUGCGAGAGGGUGGUCAUCAACAUCUCGGGGCUGCGCUUCGAGACGCAGCUCAAGACGCUCGCCCAGUUCCCAGAGACCUUAUUAGGGGAUCCUAAAAAGAGGAUGAGAUAUUUCGACCCUCUCCGGAACGAGUAUUUCUUUGACCGGAACAGGCCCAGCUUCGAUGCGAUUUUGUACUAUUACCAGUCCGGUGGGAGGUUGAGGAGGCCGGUUAACGUGCCCUUAGACAUCUUCUCAGAAGAGAUUCGAUUCUACGAACUGGGGGAAGAGGCAAUGGAGAUGUUCCGAGAGGAUGAGGGCUACAUCAAAGAAGAGGAGAGGCCGUUGCCCGAGAACGAGUUCCAGAGACAAGUGUGGUUGCUCUUCGAGUACCCCGAGAGCUCGGGCCCUGCCAGGAUUAUAGCUAUUGUCUCCGUCAUGGUGAUUUUAAUCUCCAUCGUCAGCUUUUGCCUGGAAACCUUGCCCAUUUUUCGGGAUGAGAACGAAGACAUGCACGGCAGCGGGCUGAGCCACCUCCCCUAUUCCAACAGCAGCAUGGGCUACCAGCAGUCCACCUCCUUCACAGACCCCUUCUUCAUCGUGGAGACACUUUGCAUCAUCUGGUUCUCCUUCGAGUUCCUGGUGAGGUUUUUCGCCUGCCCCAGCAAGGCUGGGUUUUUUACCAACAUCAUGAACAUUAUAGACAUCGUAGCCAUCAUUCCCUAUUUCAUCACCCUGGGGACGGAGCUGGCCGAGAAGCCGGAGGACGGCCAGCAGGGCCAGCAAGCCAUGUCCCUGGCCAUCCUCCGAGUCAUCCGCUUGGUGCGGGUCUUCAGGAUCUUCAAGCUCUCCCGGCACUCCAAGGGGCUGCAGAUCCUUGGGCAGACUCUCAAGGCCAGCAUGCGGGAGCUGGGCCUCUUGAUAUUCUUCCUCUUCAUCGGCGUCAUCCUCUUCUCCAGCGCCGUGUAUUUUGCCGAGGCCGAUGAGAGCGAGUCCCAGUUCCCGAGCAUCCCCGACGCCUUCUGGUGGGCCGUGGUUUCCAUGACGACUGUUGGCUACGGAGACAUGGUCCCCACCACCAUCGGGGGGAAAAUAGUGGGUUCCUUGUGUGCCAUAGCUGGCGUAUUAACGAUUGCCUUACCAGUGCCCGUCAUAGUGUCCAACUUCAACUACUUCUACCACCGGGAGACGGAGGGAGAGGAGCAGGCUCAAUAUCUGCAAGUAACCAGCUGCCCAAAGAUCCCCUCUUCCCCUGACCUAAAGAAAAGCAGAAGUGCCUCUACGAUUAGUAAGUCUGAUUACAUGGAGAUUCAGGAAGGCGUAAACAAUAGCAAUGAGGAUUUCAGGGAGGAGAACUUGAAGACAGCCAAUUGCACCCUUGCUAACACAAACUAUGUGAAUAUCACCAAAAUGCUAACCGAUGUCUAAUCGCUAAAAAAAAAAAAAAAAAAUCUAGUGGUGUAUUUAAAAGCUGAAGUGGAACAAUUGCAGAUAUUGAGUGCUGCUCUGCAUUGUAGUUAACACAGUUAUUUUCUACGGUGUAUAUUUGGUUCUGCAUGGGAAGCAAUAGCUGUGUAAGUGACUUUUAACCUUCGAUUUCCACACUGAAUAAGCAUCCGUGCAAAACAAACAAACAAAACAGACAGACAAACAAACACCCCCCAACAAACCCAAACCAUUUCGUUGUCCUUCUCCCAUCCCAGGCUCGUGGGUUUCCCGAGGGGUACGGAAGGGAUUUGGAGCAGCAGGAUGGGGGGUACGAGGGGCAGCUCCAGGUUGUGCCAGCUCCCUGUCCUGGGUGACAACCCACCUUCCAGGGAAGGGCUGGGAAAGGUCAGGCAGAACUUAACGAAGGGGGCGAUGUGGGCGAAGUGUCAGAAUUGCUGGAAGGCUCCGGUUUCCACCCUGGGAAUGCCAAGCCCGGCCGCGUCGCCCGGGCUCGUGUUUCAUAACUGAAAAUGCUGCAUGCUGCAAUAGUUUCAGCCACUGCAGUGUGCCAGUGUGAGGCCCAGGGGAGGGAUAAUUAGUGUGACAGCACAUUAUUUAUUAAGUCUUAAAUUUUCUAUUGCCAGGCAUCGGGAGGGCUGGGUAAAUAAAUCAAGCGCUUGGAUUUUAGGAUUUCUUUAGAUAACACUUCCAUCCCCGGUGUUUCCAGGCUCACCAAAGACAUCUCCACUAAUCUGUUGAAAAUGAGUUGGAAAAAGCAUCUUUUUUUACAUCUAUAUAUAAAACUGGAGCAACUAUGCUGUGGCCUACAAUAUAUUUAUACUGCAGUGAAAUUUAACCAGUAAUACAGUACAGCUGCAUGGAUAUCUGUUGCAUGAAUCUGAAUAUUUAAUACACACACAAAUAUAUAUUUUCUUAGUAGACUAUACGAUAUUCAUGUUUAUAGUGUUUAUAGAUUCUCCGGUGGCUCGAAGGAGAUUCAUGGGAGUUGAAAAAAAAUCUCAACUGCAGUUAAAAACAGGACGGGGAAGGCGCGUGCUGACAACAGUUGGAUAAGAUAACGAGGCAAAGCCCGAGUGUCCGAGCAUUCAGACACGAGAGCCAGCUAGAGCGAGGGAAGGUGAGCUGAAAGUUAAACACCUGCACUCGUUAUGGGGCGAGUAAUUAGUCAUUAAUCUUGGUGUCGGGAGCGGAAAGCGCAGGGCGGAUCAGAGAGGGCACAGGGAGCAGGUGGAAUUGCAGGUUCUGGCUCUCCCGGAUUGUUUGGUCAGCAGUUUUCAGCCGUUCCCGUCUAAUCCUUGGGGUGUGUGUGUGUAUGUAGAUAUUUAGAGAGCGACUACAGGGCCGGAUCCUCAGCAAACAGAGCUCUUGGGGCAUUGGGGAUUUCCUGAUUUAGGGGUGCUGGGAUGGUGGGACAGGGGCUGGAGCAGGAUGACCUACCCCGUGGAGCCCAUGGGAUCACUGGGGAAGGGCGUGUUUUGGGCUGGAAAACUCCUUUUCAACCACACAGAGCCCCAGGGCUGGGGGUUUAUUUCUUUGUGAUGGAAAAGGCACGUGCUGAGGGUGGGCUGGAUCUGAGCUGCUGCCUCUCAGCCCUUGCUUUGCCUCCUUCCAGGGUCUUUAGAGUGGUGAGUUGGGGUGCAGAGAGCCUGAGGAUGUCCCUGCUUCUUCAUCCCUGCUGGUGUUUGGGGAUGGGAGCUGUUGGUUCAGGGGGAAUCUCGUCUGCUUUCCCCAUUCCCAUCUGGAUUUCCUUGUUUCUCCCCCAUUGCUGAGAAUCCCCAGGGAAAUCCUCUGAUGUUCCUCUGAUGAGUCAGGAGAGAGGGAUUGAAAUCUCUGCCAAGGUUGUGGUCCAUCAAAGCCUCCCUGGGCUGCAGAACAAGGUUCAGCUGGGGUGAAUUUGGGCUGAAUUGGGGCACAGUCAGUGCUGUACUCGCUUGAUGUGUGGGCACCAGGAGAGAACCCUCCAGCAGAGAAUGUGGGGGAGGUCAGAGACCCUUCCUGAGCUCAGAGAGGAAAACCCAACUAAAUAACAAUAAACCAACCGGUGCUAACAUGUCCUAACACCAAUGGUUCCAAAUGAUGCUCUGGGGCCGGAUCCACCUCGGGCUGAUGUGGCUUCACUCAGCCAGGUGGAAACACUCCUCAGUUUUGUUGGAUUGGUUGAUUGAUUGAUUGAUUGGUUGAUUCUGGCCUGGCUAUAAUCAACAUCAUGGUUUGUGCAUGGGAGUCCUGCCUUCUGCUUGGGGCCAAGGACCAGCAGCAUCCAGGACCAACAGCAGCCUGUCUUUAAUCCCAUUACAUUGGGAACCUUCUGCUCCCGCUUUCCUGCAGCAGCUCAGGAAUGGGAGCUUCUGCAGCCCGCUCAAAAAAACCAACACAACCCAAAGCAAUAAAUUUUGACUCCUGAAGCUCAUCCUGUCGGAUGGGGCAGGGCUGGCAGGAGCUGCCAGCUUGGCCACGAUUCCCAGGGCAGUCGGCCAACUUCCAUUGAUCCGGCUGGCCGUGGGUUCGUGGAGGCAGGAGCGUGGAGACGAGCACAGGGGAAGCUGCUGGAUGUACUGGGAAUGCUGCUCGCCCACCUCUGGGUGCCUCCACACCAGGUGAUCCCAUUCCUGGUCAAGAUUGAGGGAAAGUUGCCGCAGGUUGUUUUUUUUUUGGUGGUGGGGUUGGAUUCUGUCGGUCGGUGAGACUUUGUGACGUGCCUGGCUGUGAGCUUGGGAUGGGUUGGGAUGGUUGGCCAAAGCCUGGAGUGCUGCUGUGGUUUGGUGAGGAAGAAGGUUGUGUUUCCCUUUGGGGAGGUGGUGUUUUGGGAAUAGAGUUCUUGCAGGAUUUCCAAGGCCAGGCAGGAGGGGGAGAGCGGAUCCACGAGCAGGAUCAGCCACAUCCAAACCUUCUCACCAAGCCUGUGGAAGCCCCAAGGGGCAUUGCAGGGAUAAAUGGGGCCAAAGAGCGAGAGUCCACUCUCCUUUUCUCACCAAUGUGAACUGACAUCUGUCCCCAUGGCCAGUCCCUUCCUUGGGACAGAUCCUGCACCCCUGGCACUGGGGAAAACCAGCCUUGGUGGGGGAUUGGACCUGCUCUGCUCUCGUUUGGGAAACAGGGCAAACAGCCAGAUCAGUGCUCAGACAUUUGUCCAGGGUGGGAAAGGUCGGGGCCGUGGCUGGAAGGGAUCUGUCCGUCUGCACGAAGCAGAGGGGUGCAGAUUUCUCCCUUGCACGGAGAAAUGGUUCUCCUACAGCUUUUAAUGGGAUUUGUGCCUGCGGUCGGAGCUCCAGUGCUAUUUCUAGCUUUACUUCUGACUCACUGAUGUGAUCUUGAACCAGUUUUUCAGGAGGAGAAUGUGAUUUUUUUUUUUGCCUUUUCUUGUUUGGUUUUUUUUUUCCUCAAGGAAUUUGUUUUCAGAGGCUCUGGGCCUGUUUCUGUGGAGAUGCUGAGCAUCCCAACCUCCUCUUGACUCUGAAAGGGUGCAAAAAUGAGCUGCAAAACGGCUCAGACUGAGGAUGUGAGAUUAGAGAGCGGGGAGAGAGAAGUGGGGGAGUCCCAACAUCCGUGUCUGAUUGCAUGAGGCCACUUAACAGAGGUGGUCUGGUUCCUUUCCUCCUCCUGGGGAGAAAAUUGCCUCUCUCCAGGGCUUGGGAUGGAGGACUGGAGCUCUCUGGUCUGUGGAGGUGCUCCUGGAGGAGACAGCACAUCUCUUUUAGAUUAUCCUUUGUGCCCCAGUUUUGAAGAGAUGGAGAGCUGGGAAAGCUUUGGAGAGGUGGAAAGGUGGAAAGCAGAAAGAGUUUUGGAGAGAUGGAAAGAUGGAAAGCAGUGCAUGUUGUCUUCUACAUCCAACCUCAUGGCCAAACCCUCAAGCAACCUCUCAACCCAUUUAAUAUCUUCCAAAAUCUCUGCUAAGAGCAAUGGGUGAGGCUCAAAUACCAGGUGGAUGCUACCAUGAGAUCAGGAAAAAAUGAUCUGUGUGGGGCACUGUGUUUUAUUGGGAAAAAUUAAUCUCUGCAGGGAAAUUUUGUGUCCAAAUCCUCCAGAUUUGAAUAGAGAGCUAUAAGAAGGAGAGGAUCUCUUGAUUAGCGUGAUGGGAGCGUGGCACGUGGGUGUAUAAAUAUGGGCAUAUUUGUGCAUAAAUACACAGAAGGAGAGAAAAAGACAGAGGAGGAGGAGGUAUUUCAGGAAGGGCCUUGUUUUGUUAUCAGAUUAAUUCCUGGGUCAGCCCUUGAAAUCGCUGCCAAAGUCUUGUAGCUUUUGUGGAGCUUGAAAAAGGUUUGGGAAUGGGUCCAAGUGAAGGAGAGCUGGAUCUGGCUUUGGAAGCAGGAGUUUACCAAGGUGUUGGGGGCAUUCAUCUCCUUGGAACGCUCUGCAAGCAAGCAGGGUCUCUGCUCCUGCUCCUGAAUCCCCAUCUUGGACCCAUCAUGACCAUUUCUGUGACUGUGCAGGGAAAGCCAAGGAGAAGUUGAAGGGAUCUGGUGGUGACACAAGUGCUGUGCUGCACUAGGUGGGGUUUUGGGGGUUAUUUUUUUUUUAAUGGGUGGAUUUUAAGUCCCUUGAGCUAUGGCAAAUUUUGGUCCCAGUGUGGUAGCUCCUAUUUGGAGCCAGGGUAGGUUUCUCAUGGAAUCAUGGAAGGGUUUGGGUUGGAAGAGACCUUAAAGCUCAUCUCAUUCCCUGGGCAGGGACACCUUCCACUAGACCAGGUUGCUCCAAGCCCUGUCCAACCUGGCCUAGAAACCUUCUCUCAAGGUCUACACCCAUGGGUGUGGUUUAUCCCUGGUGGUUAUCCCUGGUGGUUAUCCCUGGUGGUUAUCCCUGGUGGUUAUCCAUGGUGGUUAUCCAUGGUGGUUUAUCCAUGGUGGUUAUCCCUGGUGGUUUUCCAUGGUACUUAUCUGUGGUAGGUUAUCCAUGGUAUUUUUCCAUGGUACUCAUCCAUGGGAGCUGGUCAGUGUGCUGCCAGGGUAAAAAGGGCUGAGGAAAGAAGGACCCAGCCCAAACCAUCUUGUUGUGCACCCAGAACAAGGCUGUGGCUCCCUCCUUGCAGCCCUGGCAGCAUCCGACCCUCCCCACAUCCACCACAUCCCUCAGUCGCUCCUGUUGGGCUCCAGCUGCCACUGAUGCCAAAAUGGGGACAAGGGUCACCCCCAGGUCCAGCCUCUGGCCAGAGCCCUGCCCUCCCCCAGCCCAUGGCCUCAGUGUCCCUGUGGUAUUGCUGCCCAAAUUUCAUCCCCUCCCUCGCUCGGAACGGAGUGCUCCGAUCCCUCCACAUCCCGUUGGAGGGGAGAGGGACCAGCCUGCAGUGAUGGGAAUCACCCCUGGGGAGCACAGCACUGACUGACACCCAGGGACAAGAUUCCCCCAGCCCAGUUGUUGCAUGAUGAGAGAGAAACUCCUUAUCCAUGUUUUUUCCUCCAGGGGGUGGGGGGGAUGGUUUGGUUUGCCCAAGCUGCUGGACGUUGUGUAACCACACCAGGUCCACACAUGAGGGACUACGUCCCCUCCCCAGCCCUGCCUGGCUGUCCUGAGCUUGGGGCUGGUUCUUUUGGGGUUUAGGGGUGUUUUUCUUAAUUAUUAUUAUUAUUUUUUAAUACCUUCUGCUGCCUAUAAGCCUGCAAUUAUCGGUUUGCUCUCGCUCCCUCACUGCCUGAGACCACGCUCUUGUCCUCCAAUGUCAUCCCCAAAGAGCAAGGGGAGAAAAAAAAAGAAAAAAAAACACAAAAAAAAAGGGUAUUGGAUCAACCCUGCGUGUGGUGCCUAAUUUAAGCCAAUCAAUAGGAAGAGGAAACCCAAGAAGGACUCAUCCUAAGAAUGCUGGAGCUGAACCUUUUGUUUCCAUGGUUACAGGAGAAAUGGGACCAGGAACGGAGAGAGAGGCCUGUAAACUGUUAGGAAUUUCAAGUCAUUUAACCAUGCGUUUGCUAGGCAAAAAUUUAGACACCAGCUGUACCUGAAUUGCACAGUGUUUAUAGACGUUCCUGCUCUUAUUGACAGCCUGGGGGUGUCUGGGGGGGUCGGGUGGAAAGGAAUGAGGGCCCCCCCCGAGUCAAUAAGGCUGCCCGUUGUAUAUAGGUAUAUAGAUCUGUGUACAUACAUAUCCCAAACUGAGCAUUUAUUUGCUGUCUGGUUUAUCAUGAGUGUAUAUAAUUUAUUCUUCACAGAGUAUUCACGACUUUUGUAAAUACUGGCACUAAUUAAGAGGAAAUAAACAUGUAUAUUAUUGAGGA
Molecule: RNA transcript, 9457 nt
Organism: Myiozetetes cayanensis
Lineage: Eukaryota; Metazoa; Chordata; Aves; Passeriformes; Tyrannidae
Gene: KCNA2
Gene name: potassium voltage-gated channel subfamily A member 2
Exons: 3
Source: RefSeq, a predicted model, not a curated record